This 274-nucleotide ribosomal RNA is filed under the name uncultured bacterium. Its description in RNAcentral is "partial 16S ribosomal RNA". It matches the Rfam family "Bacterial small subunit ribosomal RNA", at positions 523 to 796 of the family's 1533-position model. The record is from RNAcentral.
AUGCGGAGGGCCCAAGCGUUAUCCGGAAUCAUUGGGUUUAAAGGGUCCGCAGGCGGUCAAUUAAGUCAGAGGUGAAAGCCCAUCGCUCAACGAUGGAACUGCCUUUGAUACUGGUUGACUUGAGUUAUACGGAAGUAGAUAGAAUAAGUAGUGUAGCGGUGAAAUGCAUAGAUAUUACUUAGAAUACCGAUUGCGAAGGCAGUCUACUACGUAUAUACUGACGCUGAGGGACGAAAGCGUGGGGAGCGAACAGGAUUAGAUACCCUAGUAGUCC